GUCUGAUUUAAUUAGUGAGCUGAUGGUAUGCCUUGUACCAACGGUGUGAUUCUCUUCUCCACUCACAACGAAACCCCUUCCGCCUCUUACAAACCUCCUCUAAACCCCUUCCGCUUUCCUCUUCGGCGCCCCUCCAUUGUAGCUUCUCUGAACCUAUUGCCACAGCGAGAGAGGCAGUGAAGCUGAAAGCUUUCAGUAAAUUUGAGAACAUUUCAGAAGCUUUGUCUGCAGCAAUCUUAAUAUUUGAUGGUAAGCCUAGCAAGGAUCUCUGCAAGUUUCUUCGUGCUCAUUGUGAUGGUGAAACAUUAAGCUGAAAGAUUUGAGGAAAUAUGAGAACAUUUCAGAAGCUUUAUCUGCAGCAAGCUUAAUAUUUGAUGGUGGACACAGUGAUUCUCCCUGAUAGCAACAUGGGUUUGAGAGGGAAACUGUUCUCUGGAGAAUCCAUUUGUCAGUAAUGCUUGGAGACGUGCUACUAGGACUUGACUCCAUCCUUUGAUGAGUUAAGCUGAGAAGAAGCAUAAUUUGGAGGUGGGGUUACCAAAGUGCUUACGGACAGGGUUGAGGUGAGAGGAAGGGACGUGGUUGACCAGCAAUUCUCAAGGUAAUGUCUUGGUGAGAGAGCGGCUUGGAGGCAGGAAUAAGAGGAGGAUUUGGGCUUGAAGAUAAGCUAGAAAGGGGCUUAGUGAAUUGGGGUUUGGAGGUUCUUAUAUGAGAUGGGUUUUAUGGGUUGGGCCAGAUAAAGUUGGAUCAAGUUUGGUAGAGCUGGAAGUAACCCAGAUUAGACCUAGGUAGCAUACCAACUGGGUUAAGUUGGGCUGGUUAUGGAUUUGAAUUCAGACCUGACACAAUUUUCAGGUUGGUAUGGUUUUUAUCCAGAUCUGACUGACUGGUCUUCAGAAAUGUGUUGGGCCAAGUCUAAGUGGGUCCAACCCAAUGCAACCUUUUUGCAGCCUAAUUCAGCAUUUCUGUACAUACUUAUUGUUUCAAGUCUUUUGACAAAUUUUAUUCUUAACUUUCACAAACUUCUUCCGUAUCUUAAAAUUUUUCCUUGUAAUUUUGGUACCAUGACAUAUUCUGUAGUUUUGAAGAUCAUUUCUUUUUCAAGUUGUUUGCUUUUAUUUCAAUAAUCAUUUUAUAGUGGAUGUUUUUCCCACAUUAAGGAAUCAAUCUCGGUAAUCUCAUACUUAUUAUAGUUUAACAUCUAGAAACGUGCCUAAUAACAGUGCAAAUAAAAAGCACUCAAAGUCAUGGUCCCAAUAAAAUUCCUGUUUAAUUUUUAGUAUUUAUCCAUCUGUUUUGUAACUAACUAUAAUCUCAACUUUUUUUAUGGUGCCUUUAGCCUCAGAUCUUUUUUCCUCUCUUUCUAUCCAGCAUUUUUUUUUUUUGAUUCUUCAGUCUUAUUUCAUGUAGGCCACUACUUGAAACUAGAUGGUUUUUAUCAUAGACCGUAUAUAUGACCUUAGCUUUGUCUUACGACGUUAUUUUAAAUGUACAACACCUGCUUAAGACUCUAAGAACAUUCUUUCUGGUUUUUGAUGCUGUCUACCAUCUGACAUCUCAAUAUUCUUAUAGUUUUCUUAGUUUUUGUAGUUUGGCAAUGUAACUUCUAAAAAUUGGACUGAGUCAACUCCAAUUGAGCAGGAGUUGACUCCUCUGCAGCUCUGGCUGAAUCUUGCGGAUGGCUGGCACUCUUCAUCUCGUGGCUGCUUCCCACCUGAUUCCAAGACUUGUGAGCACCACACUUGAGCUCACAUUAAUAAUAUAAUCUUGUACUUCUUCCCUCAUGCUCCAGUUGCUUGUACUUCCAUGGUUGGCAAUCUUCUAAUAUGCAAGCAUUGAUUACUAUAAGAACAGUCAAAGUAUCUUGAUAUUUCCUUGUGAGAAUGUAUUCGCAUUGCUUGCGUCAGAUACACCAACUCAUUGGCAUUUAGCCUAUAUCCUCGAUACUUGCAGGUCUUAGCUUCAUUUCUUUUUCAAUGGUACAUCUGACUAAUUUCUAAUUUUUAGUCACUAAAAUAACUUAUACUGAUAUUUUAUUUUGCGUAUUUGCAAGAGUGAUUGUUAAUUGUCAUAUUCACUUCUUUCCAUUUGAUCUUCUGUGCACAUUAAUUUUUGACUUAUGAUGUUGUAUCUCUUUUCUUUUAUUAAAACUGACAUCCAAUGAGCUUAAAUAAUUUUCUUCAACAGGAUUAACUUCUUUACCCACCCUGAUAUUUUGAUCUCCGAACCCUCUCUUGCUUGUUAUUUAAAUCAGCAUCUUCUAUGUCAUGUCUUAUGUUUGCCUCAGGCAACUCUUGCACAUUUCUUGUCAAUAUUUGGUUAUUGUGUAGCAUUUGGCUGACAUCGAGUCUGGCACCUUGUUGUGGGUUAUGCUGCAGAUUGCAUUCACUAACUCGAAAUUUAUUGGAGCUUAAGAGUCACUCACAUUUAUAAAGAGGGCGAGCAGCUUGCGAAUUGGUUGGCUAAUUAGGACAAAAAUGAGCAAACAGAAUUGCUUAUGGAAUGCUGACUUCCUGAGGAGUUGAUCAGUCUGCUCACAAUGGAUUACGGUCCUUGUAUUGUAAAGAACCUAUGAUUGUUUGUUGUUUGUGUCGGUCCUUAAGGGGGGACAGGUUAGGUACAUCAGGUUGGAUGUUCUCAUGGGUAAGGGCAUCCAACUUGCAGUCAGGAAUUCCCAGAAUAGGAUUAGCUUGCAAUGCUGUACUGCAUUUGUAUCACUCUUUAUUGCCUCUGCUCUGCAAGUAUAGUGUGUGCACUGACAGAUACCAACAUGACCACCCUUGCACGUGCACAGACAUGCACGCACCAGUACACCACCUAUACGGUGCCUUUUAAAACCGAUGACCUUAUAAUUCUAGUGCUUCAUUAGCUGUUACCUGUACAAAACGAAAUACAUAUAUGUAUGUGCAUCUAUGUGCAUCAGUGCAUAUGUAUGUACAUAUAGAGAGUGACUAUAUCUUGGUCCCUCUUUUCUUUUUGAGAAACCUUAGACAUAUGACCAAUUUCAUAUGACUGUUUAGAGCUCUGAAGACAAAACAUGUUACACCAACACUUGGGCUUAUCUUCAAUGCAUCCUUAAUUGGUCAGGCAGCCCUAAAACUCAAGGGGAAGUUUUCUUGUUCUCUUGCUGCAGAAACUGCAUUGGCUAUUAGAUAUGAUGCCCUUGGCAAUGGUGAGGACAACAAUAUGAGACUAGAAAAUCGAGCUAGGCAGUGUAGGCAACAGACUGCUACUAUGUUAUCCUACACACCAUAUUGUCCUAAAAUUGGAUUCUUGUAUUUGUGAAUGGAUCGAAACCUGUUUAAGAUUUCUCUAGGGUAGAGAAUUGGUCAGUUCUGCUGGCUGAACAAAAGGCAAGCCCGGGAUUGAGUUCUAUAACAACAACCGAAAGAAGGGUACAGGCUCUGAUUGCUCCAGCAGAGUGAUUGGGCAAAGCACCGAACCAGCUGCCAAGAAUUUGGCUGAUGAACGGGAGGGGGCACAACCUAGAGAGAUGGAGCAUGAGGAAGUAUAGGUAGCUGAAGAAGCUACCUUGAAAGAAGGGGAUGAUGGUGAGGGGGAGAAAAGGAAGAAGAAGAGCAAGAAGUCUGAUAUAGAGAGCACCUGAUUGCAAAGUGAUGAUCAGAAUGCUCCAGCCAUGGCAGAAGAAGAGCAGGAAAUGAAGAAAAAUCAAGCUGAAGCUCCGAGCACCAAUGAGUUAGAGAAUCAAGAUCAGCCUGUCAUGCCAAAGAAAAAAGGAAAAGAAGAAGAAAGAUGAAGGAUGAGUAAUGACAUGUGUGGGAGAGAAUGAUCAGUUCUGUUUGGUGCAGGUGAACGGAAUCUGCAAAUUUGGAUUAGUUCAUUUAGGUUUCAACAGGGAUAGAUCUGCAAAAAUUUAGCUAUUGUUGUUACAGU
Elaeis guineensis (African oil palm) is the source of this 3894-nucleotide long non-coding RNA. RefSeq lists it as uncharacterized. The record is from RefSeq and is a predicted model, not a curated record. NCBI's taxonomy places the organism in Eukaryota, Viridiplantae, Streptophyta, Magnoliopsida, Arecales, Arecaceae.